AUUGAACGCUGGCGGCAGGCCUAACACAUGCAAGUCGCGCGGAUGAAGGGAGCUUGUUCCUGGAUUCAGCGGCGGACGGGUGAGUAAUGCCUAGGAAUCUGCCUGGUAGUGGGGGAUAACGUCCGGAAACGGGCGCUAAUACCGCAUACGUCCUGAGGGAGAAAGUGGGGGAUCUUCGGACCUCACGCUAUCAGAUGAGCCUAGGUCGGAUUAGCUAGUUGGUGGGGUAAAGGCCUACCAAGGCGACGAUCCGUAACUGGUCUGAGAGGAUGAUCAGUCACACUAGAACUGAGACACGGUCCAGACUCCUACGGGAGGCAGCAGUGGGGAAUAUUGGACAAUGGGCGAAAGCCUGAUCCAGCCAUGCCGCGUGUGUGAAGAAGGUCGUCGGAUUGUAAAGCACUUUAAGUUGGGAGGAAGGGCAGUAAGUUAAUACCGUGCUGUUUUGACGUUACCAACAGAAUAAGCACCGGCUAACUUCGUG
RNAcentral lists this ribosomal RNA (484 nucleotides) under uncultured bacterium. Its description in RNAcentral is "partial 16S ribosomal RNA". It matches the Rfam family "Bacterial small subunit ribosomal RNA", at positions 30 to 507 of the family's 1533-position model. The record is from RNAcentral.